CCUACGGGUGGCAGCAGUGAGGAAUAUUGGUCAAUGGGCUUACGCCUGAACCAGCCAAGUCGCGUGAGGGAAGACUGCCCUAUGGGUUGUAAACCUCUUUUGUCAGGGAGCAAUUGGCGCUACGUGUAGCGUUAUCGAGAGUACCUGAAGAAAAAGCAUCGGCUAACUCCGUGCCAGCAGCCGCGGUAAUACGGAGGAUGCGAGCGUUAUCCGGAUUUAUUGGGUUUAAAGGGUGCGUAGGCGGAAUGCCAAGUCAGCGGUAAAAUCGCGGGGCUCAACCUCGCUCCGCCGUUGAAACUGGCGUUCUUGAGUGGGCGAGAAGUAUGCGGAAUGCGUGGUGUAGCGGUGAAAUGCAUAGAUAUCGAGAGGAACACUCGUGGCGAAGGCGGGUUCCUGGACAUUAACUGACGCUGAGGCACGAAGGCCAGGGGAGCGAAAGGGAUUAGAUACCCUUGUAGUC
Molecule: ribosomal RNA, 460 nt
Filed under: uncultured bacterium
Lineage: Bacteria
Description: partial 16S ribosomal RNA
Rfam family: Bacterial small subunit ribosomal RNA
Source: RNAcentral